UGGCGGACGGGUGAGUAAUGUCUGGGAAACUGCCCGAUGGAGGGGGAUAACUACUGGAAACGGUAGCUAAUACCGCAUAAUGUCUACGGACCAAAGCGGGGGACCUCCGGGCCUCGCGCCAUCAGAUGAACCCAUAUGGGAUUAGCUUGUAGGUAAGGUAACGGCUUACCUAGGCGACGAUCCCUAGCUGGUCUGAGAGGAUGAUCAGCCACACUGGGACUGAGACACGGUCCAG
RNAcentral lists this ribosomal RNA (235 nucleotides) under uncultured bacterium. Its description in RNAcentral is "partial 16S ribosomal RNA". It matches the Rfam family "Bacterial small subunit ribosomal RNA", at positions 96 to 334 of the family's 1533-position model. The record is from RNAcentral.